Molecule: small nucleolar RNA, 126 nt
Filed under: Castor canadensis (American beaver)
Lineage: Eukaryota; Metazoa; Chordata; Mammalia; Rodentia; Castoridae
Description: Small nucleolar RNA SNORD22 (ENSCCNG00000031291.1)
Rfam family: Small nucleolar RNA SNORD22
About the family: U22 is a member of the C/D class of snoRNA which contain the C (UGAUGA) and D (CUGA) box motifs. U22 is encoded within the U22 snoRNA host gene (UHG) in mammals and has also been identified in Xenopus.
Source: Rfam by way of RNAcentral
UGCCAAUGAGGAGAAAACAUCCUGUCUUACUCCCCGUUCUUGCCCCAGAGCCAGUAAUGGUGAACCCACUGGGGAAGCUGGGAGAGAGGAUGGAGUACUUGUUCCAUAAAGAACUGUCUGAGGUAC